This 251-nucleotide ribosomal RNA is filed under the name uncultured prokaryote. RNAcentral's name for it is "partial 16S rRNA". It matches the Rfam family "Bacterial small subunit ribosomal RNA", at positions 525 to 775 of the family's 1533-position model. The record is from RNAcentral.
ACGGAGGGUGCAAGCGUUAAUCGGAAUUACUGGGCGUAAAGCGCACGCAGGCGGUUUGUUAAGUCAGAUGUGAAAUCCCCGGGCUCAACCUGGGAACCCCAUCUGAUACUGGCAAGCUUGAGUCUCGUAGGGGAGGGUAGAAGUCCAGAUGUAGCGGUGAAAUGCGUAGAGAUCUGGUGCACUACCGGUGGAGGGGCCGGCCCCCUGGACGAAGACUGACGCUCAGGUGCGAAAGCGUGGGGAGCAAACAG